RNAcentral lists this ribosomal RNA (462 nucleotides) under uncultured bacterium. RNAcentral's name for it is "partial 16S ribosomal RNA". It matches the Rfam family "Bacterial small subunit ribosomal RNA", at positions 28 to 507 of the family's 1533-position model. The record is from RNAcentral.
GACGAACGCUGGCGGCGUGCUUAACACAUGCAAGUCGAACGGAAAGGCCCUUCUGGGGACUCUAGUGGCGAAGGGGUGAGGAACACGGGGGUGAUGUGGCCUGCACUGUGGGAUAAGCGUGGGAAACUGGGUCUAAUACCGAAGAGGACCACGCGCUUCAUGGUGUGUGGUGGAUAGCUUUCGCGGGGGGGGAAGGGCACGCGGCCUAUCAGCGUGUUGGUGGGGUAAUGGCCUACCAAGGCGACGACGGGUAGCCGGCCUGUGAGGGUGACCGGACACACCGGGCUCGUGCUACGGGCAGCACUGCUGAGGGAGGCAGAAGGGGGGAAUACUGCAUGCUGGGCGGCAGCCUGAUGCAGCGACGCCGCGUGGUGGAUAACGGCCUUCGCGUUGUAGGACGCUUUCAACCGGGACGAAGCGUAAGCGACGGUACCUAUAGAAGAAGCACCGGCCAACUACGUG